This 473-nucleotide ribosomal RNA is filed under the name uncultured bacterium. Its description in RNAcentral is "bacterial SSU rRNA". It matches the Rfam family "Bacterial small subunit ribosomal RNA", at positions 355 to 825 of the family's 1533-position model. The record is from RNAcentral.
UGGGGAAUAUUGGGCAAUGGGCGCAGGCCUGACCCAGCGACGCCGCGUGGGUGAUGAAGGCCUUCGGGUCGUAAAGCCCUGUCGGGUGGAAAGAACGGUAUGGGUGCAAAUAGCGCUCAUACGUGACGGUACCACCGAAGGAAGCACCGGCCAAUUCCGUGCCAGCAGCCGCGGUAAGACGGAAGGUGCAAGCGUUGCUCGGAAUCACUGGGCGUAAAGGGUGCGUAGGCGGCAAUUCAAGUCAUCUGUGAAAUCUCCGGGCUUAACUCGGAACGGUCAGAUGAUACUGCUUUGCUAGAGUGCAGAAGGGGCAAUCGGAAUUCUUGGUGUAGCGGUGAAAUGCGUAGAUAUCAAGAGGAACACCUGAGGUGAAGACGGGUUGCUGGGCUGACACUGACGCUGAGGCGCGAAAGCCAGGGGAGCAAACGGGAUUAGAUACCCAAGUAGUCCCUGAGCGGGCUGGCAAGGCGCAU